CGGAGGAAAAGAAACUAACCAGGAUUCCCCUAGUAACUGCGAGUGAAGCGGGAAAAGCUCAAAUUUAAAAUCUGGCGGUUCUUGUAGCCGUCCGAGUUGUAAUUUAGAGAAGUGUUAUCCGCGUUGGACCGUGUACAAGUCUCCUGGAAUGGAGCGUCAUAGAGGGUGAGAAUCCCGUCUUUGACACGGACUNNCAAGGCUUUGUGAUGCGCUCUCGAAGAGUCGAGUUGUUUGGGAAUGCAGCUCAAAAUGGGUGGUAAAUUCCAUCUAAAGCUAAAUAUUGGGGAGAGACCGAUAGCGAACAAGUACCGUGAGGGAAAGAUGAAAAGAACUUUGGAAAGAGAGUUAAACAGUACGUGAAAUUGCUGAAAGGGAAACGCUUGAAGUCAGUCGCGUUGUUCAGGACUCAGCCUUGCUUUUGCUUGGUGUACUUCUUGUUCGACGGGUCAGCAUCAAUUUUGGUCGGUGGAUAAAGGCUUAGAGAAUGUGGCAUCUUCGGGUGUGUUAUAGCUCUGGGUCGCAUACAUCGGCUGGGAUUGAGGAACUCAGCACGCCGCAAGGCCGGGUACUUGUACCACGUACGUGCUUAGGAUGCUGGCAUAAUGGCUUUAAUCGACCCGUCUUGAAACACGGACCAAGGAGUCUAACAUGCCUGCGAGUGUUUGGGUGGAAAACCCGAGCGCGUAAUGAAAGUGAAAGUUGAGAUCCCUGUCGUGGGGAGCAUCGACGCCCGGAGCAGACCUUCUGUGANAUCCGCGGUAGAGCAUGUAUGUUGGGACCCGAAAGAUGGUGAACUAUGCCUGAAUAGGGUGAAGCCAGAGGAAACUCUGGUGGAGGCUCGUAGCGAUUCUGACGUGCAAAUCNAUCGUCGAAUUUGGGUAUAGGGGCGAAA
RNAcentral lists this ribosomal RNA (892 nucleotides) under Mycena clavicularis. RNAcentral's name for it is "eukaryotic LSU rRNA". It matches the Rfam family "Eukaryotic large subunit ribosomal RNA", at positions 51 to 928 of the family's 3401-position model. Lineage: Eukaryota; Fungi; Basidiomycota; Agaricomycetes; Agaricales; Mycenaceae. The record is from RNAcentral.